RNAcentral lists this ribosomal RNA (407 nucleotides) under uncultured bacterium. RNAcentral's name for it is "partial 16S ribosomal RNA". It matches the Rfam family "Bacterial small subunit ribosomal RNA", at positions 28 to 526 of the family's 1533-position model. The record is from RNAcentral.
GACGAACGCUGGCGGCGUGCCUAAUACAUGCAAGUAGGACGCAGUUGUGAACGGGUGAGUAACGCGUAGGUAACUGCCUAUUAGAGGGGGAUAACUAUUGGAAACGAUAGCUAAUACCGCAUACUAGUAGAUGGACCUGCGUUGUAUUAGCUAGUAGGUAGGGUAAUGGCCUACCUAGGCAACGAUACAUAGCCGACCUGAGAGGGUGAACGGCCACACUGGGACUGAGGCAAGGCGCAGACUCCUACGGGAGGCAGCAGUAGGGGAUCUUCGGAAAUGGGGGGAAAGCUGACCGAGCAACGCCGCGGGAGUGAAGGAGGGUUUCGGAUCGGAAAGCUCUGUUGUUAAGGAAGCGGUACUUAACCAGAAAGGGACGGCUAACUACGUGCCAGCAGCCGCGGUAAUAC